UCCAGCCACAAUUCUCGGUUG
RNAcentral lists this microRNA (21 nucleotides) under Pteropus alecto (black flying fox). RNAcentral's name for it is "pal-miR-219b-5p". Its record names the gene pal-miR-219b-5p. The record is from miRBase by way of RNAcentral. Lineage: Eukaryota; Metazoa; Chordata; Mammalia; Chiroptera; Pteropodidae.